Molecule: ribosomal RNA, 433 nt
Filed under: uncultured bacterium
Lineage: Bacteria
Description: partial 16S ribosomal RNA
Rfam family: Bacterial small subunit ribosomal RNA
Source: RNAcentral
AACGAACGCUGGCGGCAUGCCUAACACAUGCAAGUCGAACGAGACCUUCGGGUCUAGUGGCGCACGGGUGCGUAACGCGUGGGAACCUGCCCUUAGGUUCGGAAUAACUCCCCGAAAGGGGUGCUAAUACCGGAUAAUGUCUUCGGACCAAAGAUUUAUCGCCUUUGGAUGGGCCCGCGUUGGAUUAGCUAGUUGGUAGGGUAAAAGCCUACCAAGGCGACGAUCCAUAGCUGGUCUGAGAGGAUGAUCAGCCACACUGGGACUGAGACACGGCCCAGACUCCUACGGGAUGCAGCAGUGGGGAAUAUUGGACAAUGGGCGAAAGCCUGAUCCAGCAAUGCCGCGUGAGUGAUGAAGGCCUUAGAGUUGUAAAGCUCUUUUACCCGGGAUGAUAAUGACAGUACCGGGAGAAUAAGCUCCGGCUAACUCCGUG